Molecule: ribosomal RNA, 483 nt
Filed under: uncultured bacterium
Lineage: Bacteria
Description: partial 16S ribosomal RNA
Rfam family: Bacterial small subunit ribosomal RNA
Source: RNAcentral
UUGAACGCUGGCGGCAGGCCUAACACAUGCAAGUCGAGCGGAUGAAGGGAGCUUGCUCCUGGAUUCAGCGGCGGACGGGUGAGUAAUGCCUAGGAAUCUGCCUGGUAGUGGGGGAUAACGUCCGGAAACGGGCGCUAAUACCGCAUACGUCCUGAGGGAGAAAGUGGGGGAUCUUCGGACCUCACGCUAUCAGAUGAGCCUAGGUCGGAUUAGCUAGUUGGUGGGGUAAAGGCCUACCAAGGCGACGAUCCGUAACUGGUCUGAGAGGAUGAUCAGUCACACUGGAACUGGGACAGGGUCCAGACUCCUACGGUAGGCCGCAGUGGGGAAUAUUGGACAAUGGGCGAAAGCCUGACCCAGCCAUGCCGCGUGUGUGAAGACGGUCUUCGGAUUGUAAAGCACUUUAAGUUGGGAGGAAGGGCAGUAAGUUAAUACCUUGCUGUUUUGACGGUACCAAGAGAAUAAGCACCGGCUAACUUCGUG